AUGCAGUGUACCCGCGGCAAGACGGAAAGACCCCGUGAACCUUUACUAUAGCUUGACACUGAACAUUGAGCCUUGAUGUGUAGGAUAGGUGGGAGGCUUUGAAGCGUGGACGCCAGUCUGCGUGGAGCCGACCUUGAAAUACCACCCUUUAAUGUUUGAUGUUCUAACGUGGAUCCGUAAUCCGGGUUGCGGACAGUGUCUGGUGGGUAGUUUGACUGGGGCGGUCUCCUCCUAAAGAGUAACGGAGGAGCACGAAGGUUGGCUAAUCCUGGUCGGACAUCAGGAGGUUAGUGCAAUGGCAUAAGCCAGCUUGACUGCGAGCGUGACGGCGCGAGCAGGUGCGAAAGCAGGUCAUAGUGAUCCGGUGGUUCUGAAUGGAAGGGCCAUCGCUCAACGGAUAAAAGGUACUCCGGGGAUAACAGGCUGAUACCGCCCAAGAGUUCAUAUCGACGGCGGUGUUUGGCACCUCGAUGUCGGCUCAUCACAUCCUGGGGCUGAAGUAGGUCCCAAGGGUAUGGCUGUUCGCCAUUUAAAGUGGUACGCGAGCUGGGUUUAGAACGUCGUGAGACAGUUCGGUCCCUAUCUGCCGUGGGCGCUGGAGAACUGAGGGGGGCUGCUCCUAGUACGAGAGGACCGGAGUGGACGCAUCACUGGUGUUCGGGUUGUCAUGCCAAUGGCACUGCCCGGUAGCUAAAUGCGGAAGAGAUAAGUGCUGAAAGCAUCUAAGCACGAAACUUGCCCCGAGAUGAGUUCUCCCUGAGACUUAGAGUCUCCUGAAGGAACGUUGAAGACGACGACGUUGAUAGGCCGGGUGUGUAAGCGCAGCGAUGCGUUGAGCUAACCGGUACUAAUGAACCGUGAGGCUUAACCUUACAACGCCGAAG
RNAcentral lists this ribosomal RNA (884 nucleotides) under Salmonella enterica subsp. enterica serovar Infantis. Its description in RNAcentral is "partial 23S ribosomal RNA". It matches the Rfam family "Bacterial large subunit ribosomal RNA", at positions 2059 to 2925 of the family's 2925-position model. The record is from RNAcentral. Lineage: Bacteria; Pseudomonadati; Pseudomonadota; Gammaproteobacteria; Enterobacterales; Enterobacteriaceae.